Long non-coding RNA from Nicotiana attenuata, 640 nucleotides. RefSeq lists it as uncharacterized. NCBI's taxonomy places the organism in Eukaryota, Viridiplantae, Streptophyta, Magnoliopsida, Solanales, Solanaceae. The record is from RefSeq and is a predicted model, not a curated record. The transcript has 2 exons.
ACGCCAAAAACGAGAACCCUCUCCCCAUUUUCCAUCUCUGGCCAUUCCCUCUCCUUCUUGACCCAGUAGCUUCUUCUCCCUCUUCAUUCCCUUGAACACAGAUUUGAUUUGAGAAUUUAGACACUCAAUCGAACACAUCUGAACGGCUAAGAGAAAGAGCUUGGGAUUUGGAGAAAGAGUUUUGGAGGUCAAAAAUCUGGAAAAAAAAACUCCAAAACUAAAGAAAAGCUCAAAAAAUAAAUAAUAAAAAGCUGUUUUCGACUUCAAAUCAGUUGCGGUGUAUUUUCGGGGUUCUGAAAGCUUUUCGAAUCGAGGAAAUCACUGUUCGCUGCUGGUAAAUCCGCUGCUGUUUUGCUGGAAUUUCUUGCUGAGUUCGUCGUCACUGUUUUCGCUAGCCUGUAUUAGGCUCAACUUCACUAUGUUCUUCGCCUAGCCGGAAGUUGUGAGUUAAAAUUUUAAUUCUAGAGAAGAAUCUACCUUCAUUGGUUUUUGGCACUUGUUUGACAUUUUUUAUUAGUUCUUUAUUAUGUCUUUUAGUCGCUGCUUUAAUAGUUUAAUCCAAAUUAUGAACAUCCGUAGUUUGUUUCGGUUGAGUAAAGCCCCUUUGGAAUAAUUUGAGGUGUGCCGUGCCAGAUAAAAA